UCGCAUGAAGCAGUGUGAAAAACUUCCGGGUGGUAUGAGAAUGACCCGCGUUCUAAUUUAGCUAGUUGGUGAGGUAACGGCCUACCAAGGCGACGAUUGGUAGCCGGACUGAGAGGUUGAACGGCCACAUUGGGACUGAGACACGGCCCAGACUCNUACGNGAGGCAGCAGUGGGGGAUAUUGCACAAUGGGGGAAACCCUGAUGCAGCGACGCCGCGUGGAGGAAGAAGGUUUUCGGAUUGUACACUCCUGUCGUUAGGGACGAUAAUGACGGUACCUAACAAGAAAGCACCGGCUAACUACGUGCCAGCAGCCGCGGUAAAACGUAGGGUGCAAGCGUUGUCCGGAAUUACUGGGUGUAAAGGGAGCGCAGGCGGACCGGCAAGUUGGAAGUGAAAACCAUGGGCUCAACCCAUGAAUUGCUUUCAAAACUGCUGGCCUUGAGUAGUGCAGAGGUAGGUGGAAUUCCCGGUGUAGCGGUGGAAUGCGUAGAUAUCGGGAGGAACACCAGUGGCGAAGGCGACCUACUGGGCACCAACUGACGCUGAGGCUCGAAAGCAUGGGUAGCAAACAGGAUUAGAUACCCUGGUAGUCCAUGCCGUAAACGAUGAUUACUAGGUGUUGGAGGAUUGACCCCUUCAGUGCCGCAGUUAACACAAUAA
RNAcentral lists this ribosomal RNA (662 nucleotides) under uncultured bacterium. RNAcentral's name for it is "bacterial SSU rRNA". It matches the Rfam family "Bacterial small subunit ribosomal RNA", at positions 186 to 863 of the family's 1533-position model. The record is from RNAcentral.